CACUCCUACGGGAGGCAGCAGUGGGGAAUUUUGGACAAUGGGCGAAAGCCUGAUCCAGCCAUGCCGCGUGCAGGAUGAAGGCCUUCGGGUUGUAAACUGCUUUUGUACGGAACGAAACGGCCUUUUCUAAUAAAGAGGGCUAAUGACGGUACCGUAAGAAUAAGCACCGGCUAACUACGUGCCAGCAGCCGCGGUAAUACGUAGGGUGCAAGCGUUAAUCGGAAUUACUGGGCGUAAAGCGUGCGCAGGCGGUUAUGUAAGACAGUUGUGAAAUCCCCGGGCUCAACCUGGGAACUGCAUCUGUGACUGCAUAGCUAGAGUACGGUAGAGGGGGAUGGAAUUCCGCGUGUAGCAGUGAAAUGCGUAGAUAUGCGGAGGAACACCGAUGGCGAAGGCAAUCCCCUGGACCUGUACUGACGCUCAUGCACGAAAGCGUGGGGAGCAAACAGGAUUAGAUACCCCGGUAGUCCCAU
Molecule: ribosomal RNA, 473 nt
Filed under: uncultured organism
Description: partial 16S ribosomal RNA
Rfam family: Bacterial small subunit ribosomal RNA
Source: RNAcentral